GGACAGCCAUCGCCGAGUCCCCGUACGGCGCGAGCCAGGGGAGCCGGGGACCCACACCAAGUCCCUGGGGUGAAUCGGACGCCCGCGCGUGCAAGCGAGGGGGUCCGUAGGAGACCUUCCUGCUCCGAACCCGUCAGCUAACCCGGUAGGCGAGAGGGAAGGAAAGG
RNAcentral lists this small RNA (167 nucleotides) under Streptomyces curacoi. Its description in RNAcentral is "c-di-AMP sequence". It matches the Rfam family "c-di-AMP riboswitch aptamer (ydaO/yuaA leader)". Rfam says of the family: This family represents a conserved RNA structure found upstream of the ydaO and yuaA genes in Bacillus subtilis and related genes in other bacteria. The ydaO/yuaA element is thought to act as a genetic "off" switch for the ydaO and yuaA genes in its native state. The record is from Rfam by way of RNAcentral. Lineage: Bacteria; Bacillati; Actinomycetota; Actinomycetes; Kitasatosporales; Streptomycetaceae.